GUCGUGAGAGGUGAACCGAAAGCUACCGCUUGCGAUUAUAUCGCGCUUCGAGGAUCAGGAUCGUAAUCGAACCCCCUUUUUUGCGCGCUCGCGGAAAAUAUUUAGUGCGCUUUUUACUGGACUUAGUGCGAUUAAAUGGAUUGGAACUUGUCAUAGUUUUUCUUUUCUGGAAGUCCCUUAUAAUGAUUUUGGCAAUCCUCGGGAAGGAAUUUUAUUAUUAACAGAAUCAUGAAACCUUCGAAAGAAGUACGAAGAAAGCACAGCAUUAUUCUACGAGUAGCAUAUUACGUCAUAAUUUGGACCGUGUAUAUAAUUUUGGUCACAUCUGCGAAGAGGCUGCCCCCUAAUGGCACUUGGAUGUAAGUAUUUUCAAUUUUUAUGGCGCU
Long non-coding RNA from Photinus pyralis (common eastern firefly), 386 nucleotides. RefSeq lists it as uncharacterized. The record is from RefSeq and is a predicted model, not a curated record. NCBI's taxonomy places the organism in Eukaryota, Metazoa, Arthropoda, Insecta, Coleoptera, Lampyridae. The transcript has 3 exons.